RNAcentral lists this ribosomal RNA (253 nucleotides) under uncultured bacterium. RNAcentral's name for it is "partial 16S ribosomal RNA". It matches the Rfam family "Bacterial small subunit ribosomal RNA", at positions 524 to 776 of the family's 1533-position model. The record is from RNAcentral.
UACGUAGGGGGCUAGCGUUGUCCGGAAUCAUUGGGCGUAAAGCGCGCGUAGGCGGCUUUGUAAGUUAGAGGUGAAAGCCCGGAGCUCAACUCCGGAACUGCCUUUAAAACUGCAUCGCUUGAAUCCAGGAGAGGUGAGUGGAAUUCCGAGUGUAGAGGUGAAAUUCGUAGAUAUUCGGAAGAACACCAGUGGCGAAGGCGGCUCACUGGACUGGUAUUGACGCUGAGGUGCGAAAGCGUGGGGAGCAAACAGG